Molecule: ribosomal RNA, 254 nt
Filed under: uncultured bacterium
Lineage: Bacteria
Description: partial 16S ribosomal RNA
Rfam family: Bacterial small subunit ribosomal RNA
Source: RNAcentral
UACGUAGGGGGGCUAGCGUUGUCCGGAUUUAUUGGGCGUAAAGAGCGUGUAGGCGGCCAGGUAGGUCAGCUGUGAAAACUCGAGGCUCAACCUCGAGACGCCGGUUGAAACCAUCUGGCUAGAGUCCGGAAGAGGAGAGUGGAAUUCCUGGUGUAGCGGUGAAAUGCGCAGAUAUCAGGAAGAACACCCGUGGCUAAGGCGGCUCUCUAGUACGGUACUGACGCUGAGACGCGAAAGCGUGGGGAGCGAACAGG